This 407-nucleotide ribosomal RNA is filed under the name uncultured bacterium. RNAcentral's name for it is "partial 16S ribosomal RNA". It matches the Rfam family "Bacterial small subunit ribosomal RNA", at positions 29 to 526 of the family's 1533-position model. The record is from RNAcentral.
AUUGAACGCUAGCGGGAUGCCUUACACAUGCAAGUCGAACGGAGUGGCGAACGGGUGAGUAAUGUAUCGGAACGUGCCCAGUAGCGGGGGAUAACUACGCGAAAGCGUAGCUAAUACCGCAUACUAUUGGAGCGGCAGAUAUCGGUUUAGCGAGGUGGGGGGGGAACGGCUCACCAAGGCGACUAUCCGUAGCCGGUUUGAGAGGACGAUCAGGCACACUGGGACUGAGACACGUCCCGGACUCCACCGGGAGGCAGCAGUGGGGAACUUGGGACAAUGGGGGAAACCCUGAUCCAGCCAUCCCGCGUGGGCGAAGAAGGCCGUCGGGUUGUAAAGCACUUUUGGCAGGAAAGCGGUACCUGCAGAAUAAGCACCGGCUAACUACGUGCCAGCAGCCGCGGUAAUUC